AAAUUGAAGAGUUUGAUCAUGGCUCAGAUUGAACGCUGGCGGCAGGCCUAACACAUGCAAGUCGAACGGUAACAGGAAGCAGCUUGCUGCUUYGCUGACGAGUGGCGGACGGGUGAGUAAUGUCUGGGAAACUGCCUGAUGGAGGGGGAUAACUACUGGAAACGGUAGCUAAUACCGCAUAACGUYGCAAGACCAAAGAGGGGGACCUUCGGGCCUCUUGCCAUCGGAUGUGCCCAGAUGGGAUUAGCUAGUAGGUGGGGUAACGGCUCACCUAGGCGACGAUCCCUAGCUGGUCUGAGAGGAUGACCAGCCACACUGGAACUGAGACACGGUCCAGACUCCUACGGGAGGCAGCAGUGGGGAAUAUUGCACAAUGGGCGCAAGCCUGAUGCAGCCAUGCCGCGUGUAUGAAGA
Molecule: ribosomal RNA, 414 nt
Filed under: Enterobacter hormaechei
Lineage: Bacteria; Pseudomonadati; Pseudomonadota; Gammaproteobacteria; Enterobacterales; Enterobacteriaceae
Description: bacterial SSU rRNA
Source: RNAcentral